This 76-nucleotide transfer RNA is filed under the name Oscillospiraceae bacterium. RNAcentral describes it as "tRNA-Thr". It matches the Rfam family "tRNA". Rfam says of the family: Transfer RNA (tRNA) molecules are approximately 80 nucleotides in length. Their secondary structure includes four short double-helical elements and three loops (D, anti-codon, and T loops). The record is from RNAcentral. Lineage: Bacteria; Bacillati; Bacillota; Clostridia; Eubacteriales; Oscillospiraceae.
GCUACUAUGGCUCAGUUGGUAGAGCACAUCCUUGGUAAGGAUGAGGUCCCCAGUUCGAAUCUGGGUAGUAGCUCCA